RNAcentral lists this ribosomal RNA (459 nucleotides) under uncultured bacterium. Its description in RNAcentral is "partial 16S ribosomal RNA". It matches the Rfam family "Bacterial small subunit ribosomal RNA", at positions 338 to 795 of the family's 1533-position model. The record is from RNAcentral.
CCUACGGGCGGCAGCAGUGAGGAAUAUUGGUCAAUGGGCGGAAGCCUGAACCAGCCAAGUAGCGUGCGGGAUGAAGGCCCUACGGGUCGUAAACCGCUGUUGCACGGGGAUAACACCCUCCACUUGUGGAGGUCUGCAGGUACCGUGCGAAUAAGGGCCGGCUAAUUCCGUGCCAGCAGCCGCGGUAAUACGGAAGGCCCGAGCGUUAUCCGGAUUCAUUGGGCUUAAAGGGAGCGUAGGCGGGCGUUCAAGUCAGCUGUAAAAUCGCGCGGCUCAACCGCGCCCCGCAGUUGAAACUGGACGCCUUGAGUUCACAACAGGCAGGCGGAAUUCGUGGUGUAGCGGUGAAAUGCAUAGAUAGCACGAGGAACCCCGAUUGCGAAGGCAGCCUGCCGGCGCUCAACUGACGCUCAUGCACGAAAGUGUGGGUAUCGAACAGGAUUAGAUACCCUUGUAGUC